UGCCGGGAUGGCGGAGUGGUCUAACGCGUUAGUCUCGAAAACUAAUGAGCUUCGGCUCGCGCAGGUUCGAAUCCAGCUCCCGGCGA
RNAcentral lists this transfer RNA (86 nucleotides) under uncultured archaeon. RNAcentral describes it as "tRNA-Ser(cga)". It matches the Rfam family "tRNA". From Rfam's summary of the family: Transfer RNA (tRNA) molecules are approximately 80 nucleotides in length. Their secondary structure includes four short double-helical elements and three loops (D, anti-codon, and T loops). Further hydrogen bonds mediate the characteristic L-shaped molecular structure. tRNAs have two regions of fundamental functional importance: the anti-codon, which is responsible for specific mRNA codon recognition, and the 3' end, to which the tRNAs corresponding amino acid is attached (by aminoacyl-tRNA synthetases). tRNAs cope with the degeneracy of the genetic code in two manners: having more than one tRNA (with a specific anti-codon) for a particular amino acid; and 'wobble' base-pairing, i.e. permitting non-standard base-pairing at the 3rd anti-codon position. The record is from RNAcentral.